AUACGGAGGGUGCAAGCGUUACUCGGAAUCACUGGGCGUAAAGCGCGCGCAGGCGGGCUGAUAAGUUGGAUGUGAAAGCCUACGGCUCAACCGUAGAACUGCAUCCAAAACUGUCAGUCUAGAGUCUGGGAGGGGAAGAUGGAAUUAGUUGUGUAGGGGUAAAAUCCGUAGAGAUAACUAGGAAUACCAAAAGCGAAGGCGAUCUUCUGGAACAGUACUGACGCUGAGGCGCGAAAGCGUGGGGAGCAAACGGGAUUAGAAACCCUAGUAGUCC
Molecule: ribosomal RNA, 274 nt
Filed under: uncultured bacterium
Lineage: Bacteria
Description: partial 16S ribosomal RNA
Rfam family: Bacterial small subunit ribosomal RNA
Source: RNAcentral